CAUAUGCGAUGUUUGCUCAAAAUUUGGUUCGAUAUAGUUCUGAGCAUAUGUUGCAUACAUG
Molecule: microRNA precursor, 61 nt
Filed under: Drosophila mojavensis
Lineage: Eukaryota; Metazoa; Arthropoda; Insecta; Diptera; Drosophilidae
Description: Dmo-Novel-4_pre stem-loop
Source: RNAcentral